Molecule: small RNA, 192 nt
Rfam family: Actinobacteria sRNA Ms_IGR-5
ACACGAGGAAGGAGGUGGUCCGAGUUGAGUUACUCAGGGACAUGUGAGGUGACCAUCCGCUGACGCGGAGUGCCAUCUGAUAUCCGCUCAGGAGGUCUCUGCACCGCGAAUACCAGGUGGUCACCCGGCCCCCGCACCCGACCCGUCCGGUCGACACGCCCGAUGCCUCGGGCGGUGCGGGGGCCGUUUCAC